Molecule: ribosomal RNA, 588 nt
Filed under: Flavobacterium sp. BvIRR041
Lineage: Bacteria; Pseudomonadati; Bacteroidota; Flavobacteriia; Flavobacteriales; Flavobacteriaceae
Description: bacterial SSU rRNA
Rfam family: Bacterial small subunit ribosomal RNA
Source: RNAcentral
ACGGGUGCGUAACGCGUAUGCAAUCUACCUUUUACAGGGGGAUAGCCCAGAGAAAUUUGGAUUAAUACCCCAUAGUAUAGUGAGUUGGCAUCAACACACUAUUAAAGUCACAACGGUAAAAGAUGAGCAUGCGUCCCAUUAGCUAGAUGGUAAGGUAACGGCUUACCAUGGCUACGAUGGGUAGGGGUCCUGAGAGGGAGAUCCCCCACACUGGUACUGAGACACGGACCAGACUCCUACGGGAGGCAGCAGUGAGGAAUAUUGGACAAUGGGCGCAAGCCUGAUCCAGCCAUGCCGCGUGCAGGAUGACGGUCCUAUGGAUUGUAAACUGCUUUUAUACGAGAAGAAACACUCCUUCGUGAAGGAAUUUGACGGUAUCGUAAGAAUAAGGAUCGGCUAACUCCGUGCCAGCAGCCGCGGUAAUACGGAGGAUCCAAGCGUUAUCCGGAAUCAUUGGGUUUAAAGGGUCCGUAGGCGGUCUAGUAAGUCAGUGGUGAAAGCCCAUCGCUCAACGGUGGAACGGCCAUUGAUACUGCUGGACUUGAAUUAUUAGGAAGUAACUAGAAUAUGUAGUGUAGCGGUGAAAUG